GAAUUCGCCCUUAGAGUUUGAUCCUGGCUCAGGAUGAACGCUGGCGGCGUGCUUAACACAUGCAAGUCGAACGGAACUGUCAUUUUUGAAGCAAUUAGCUUGCUAAGGGUGGAAAUGUUGGCAGUUUAGUGGCGGACGGGUGAGUAACGCGUGGGUAACCUGCCUUACACAGGGGGAUAACACCUGGAAACAGGUGCUAAUACCGCAUAACAGGAAGAGGCGCAUGCCACUUUCUUGAAAACUCCGGUGGUGUAAGAUGGACCCGCGUCUGAUUAGCUAGUUGGCGGGGUAACGGCCCACCAAGGCGACGAUCAGUAGCCGGCCUGAGAGGGUGGACGGCCACAUUGGGACUGAGACACGGCCCAAACUCCUACGGGAGGCAGCAGUGGGGAAUAUUGGGCAAUGGGCGCAAGCCUGACCCAGCAACGCCGCGUGAAGGAAGAAGGCCCUCGGGUUGUAAACUUCUUUUGUCAGGGACGAAGAAAGUGACGGUACCUGACGAAUAAGCCACGGCUAACUACGUGCCAGCAGCCGCGGUAAUACGUAGGUGGCAAGCGUUAUCCGGAUUUACUGGGUGUAAAGGGCGUGUAGGCGGGACUGCAAGUCAGAUGUGAAAUUCCAGGGCUCAACCCUGGAACUGCAUUUGAAACUGUAGUUCUUGAGUGAUGGAGAGGCAGGCGGAAUUCCGUGUGUAGCGGUGAAAUGCGUAGAUAUACGGAGGAACACCAGUGGCGAAGGCGGCCUGCUGGACAUUAACUGACGCUGAGGCGCGAAAGCGUGGGGAGCAAACAGGAUUAGAUACCCUGGUAGUCCACGCUGUAAACGAUGGAUACUAGGUGUGGGGGGUCUGACCCCCUCCGUGCCGCAGCUAACGCAAUAAGUAUCCCACCUGGGGAGUACGAUCGCAAGGUUGAAACUCAAAGGAAUUGACGGGGGCCCGCACGAGCGGUGGAGUAUGUGGUUUAAUUCGACGCAACGCGAAGAACCUUACCAGGGCUUGACAUCCCGGUGACCGGCCUAGAGAUAGGCUUUCCCUUCGGGGCACCGGUGACAGGUGGUGAAUGGUUGUCGUCAGCUCGUGUCGUGAGAUGUUGGGUUAAGUCCCGCAACGAGCGCAACCCUUAUUGCUAGUUGCUACGCAAGAGCACUCUAGCGAGACUGCCGUUGACAAAACGGAGGAAGGUGGGGACGACGUCAAAUCAUCAUGCCCCUUAUGUCCUGGGCCACACACGUACUACAAUGGCGGUCAACAAAGAGAGGCAAACCCGCGAGGGGGAGCAAAUCUCCAAAAGCCGUCCCAGUUCGGAUUGCAGGCUGCAACCCGCCUGCAUGAAGUUGGAAUCGCUAGUAAUCGCGGAUCAGCAUGCCGCGGUGAAUACGUUCCCGGGCCUUGCACACACCGCCCGUCAC
Molecule: ribosomal RNA, 1410 nt
Filed under: uncultured bacterium
Lineage: Bacteria
Description: bacterial SSU rRNA
Rfam family: Bacterial small subunit ribosomal RNA
Source: RNAcentral